This 651-nucleotide long non-coding RNA is filed under the name Elaeis guineensis (African oil palm). RNAcentral's name for it is "long non-coding RNA (EGUI_LNC001061)". Lineage: Eukaryota; Viridiplantae; Streptophyta; Magnoliopsida; Arecales; Arecaceae. The record is from RNAcentral.
UUUCCUUUUUUUCCCGCGGCCUCCCUUGGGCCGAAACAGGGGAAGACCGUGAGGUCCCCCCCUCCAAUGACCCAGGCUCUGACGAGGUGGGUGGCUUCAUCGGAGGUCAGGCAACGAUGGCCGACCAUGCGAAGCCGGCCGGCGACGGAGUUCGGCCGGCAAGCUUUCCUUCUUUUUUUUUUCCUCGAAAAAUAGGGGAUCCACCCCUUUUCUUUUAUUUUUCGAUCAUUGGCCGGUCACCGGCGGCCAAGACCUUCAGGGAAGAGGGAUAGAGAGAUGAGGGUCCGGUCUCGGGGAUGAGACGCCGCAACCGUCGGCGCCGGUGACUGGAAAAGAGAGGAAAGGGUUCCGGUCGAACAGGGGUUUCCUGUUUCAUGAAAUUUUCGGCGAUCCCGACGGCCGGCGAGGAGUCUAAAACCAUGGGAGGAAAGAGAAGAGGGAGAGGAAGAAAGAUUGAACCCUCACCUGAACUCCGGUGGCCUCUUCGAUCUUCGAUUUCCGACGAAUACAAGAAGAGGGUGCCGUGGCUUCCAAGGGAAAAAGAGGAGGAAUCAAGCUUGAAGAUCGCCCGGUGGAGGUUUGAGAGGGAGAGGGAAGGCUUAUUUAUAGAGGAUCCUAGAGUUUUAAGACUACUAGAACUCUUUUCCGAUC